Molecule: ribosomal RNA, 492 nt
Filed under: uncultured bacterium
Lineage: Bacteria
Description: partial 16S ribosomal RNA
Rfam family: Bacterial small subunit ribosomal RNA
Source: RNAcentral
AGUGAACGCUGGCGGUAGGCCUAACACAUGCAAGUCGAACGGCAGCACAGUAAGAGCUUGCUCUUACGGGUGGCGAGUGGCGGACGGGUGAGGAAUACAUCGGAAUCUACUUUUUCGUGGGGGAUAACGUAGGGAAACUUAAGCUAAUACCGCAUACGACCUACGGGUGAAAGCAGGGGAACUUCGCACCUUGCGCGGUUGAAUGAGCCGAUGUCGGAUUAGCUAGUUGGCGGGGUAAAGGCCCACCAAGUCGACGAUCCGUAGCUGGUCUGAGAGGAUGGUCGGCCACACUGGAACGGAGCCACGGUCCAGACUCCUACGGGAGGCAGCAGUGGGGAAUAUUGGGCAAUGGGCGCAAGCCUGACCCAGCCAUACCGCGUGUGUGAAGAAGGCCUUCGGGUUGUAAAGCCCUUUUGUUGGGAAAGAAAAGCAGCAGGUUAAUACGCCGCUGUUCUGACGGUACCCAAUGAAUAAGCACCGGCUAACUUCGUG